AUUGAACGCUGGCGGCAGGCCUAACACAUGCAAGUCGAACGAGUGGCGGACGGGUGAGUAAUGUCUGGGAAACUGCCUGAUGGAGGGGGAUAACUAAUGGAAACGGUAGCUAAUACCGCAUACCCUCAGAUGUGCCCAGAUGGGAUUAGCUAGUGGGUGGGGUAACGGCUCACCAAGGCGACGAGCCCUAGCUGGUCUGCGAGGAUGAACAGCCACACGGGAACUGAGACACGUUCAAGACUCCUACGGGAGGCAGCAGGGGGGAAGUUUGCACAAUGGGUGCAAGCCUGAGGCAGCCACGCCGCUGGUAUGAAGAAGGCCUUCGGGUUGUAAAGUACUUUCAGCGGGGAGGCGUUACCCGCAGAAGAAGCACCGGCUAACUCCGUGCCAGCACCGCGGUAAUUC
RNAcentral lists this ribosomal RNA (405 nucleotides) under uncultured bacterium. RNAcentral describes it as "partial 16S ribosomal RNA". It matches the Rfam family "Bacterial small subunit ribosomal RNA", at positions 30 to 526 of the family's 1533-position model. The record is from RNAcentral.